RNAcentral lists this transfer RNA (58 nucleotides) under Hemiselmis andersenii. Its description in RNAcentral is "partial tRNA". Lineage: Eukaryota; Cryptophyceae; Cryptomonadales; Hemiselmidaceae. The record is from RNAcentral.
AAAAAAAAAUCAUUAAAUAUUGUUUCUUUAAAACUUCCGUAUGCUUGUAAACUUUUAU